CGACCCGCCCCUCCCUAGGCCCGAGGACGCGCCCGCAGCAGGCGAACGGCUUCGGGUGCCAGGAGCUCAGCAAGCUGGGGACCCCCUGGGCGAGGAGUACAAAGGACCCCAGGCGAAGCCGGCGCCGGGAGGCAGAGCUGACUCCCGCGGGACUCUACCGGCCUGCGAGCGUUCGUCACGUGCUCGGUGGCUGAGGGGCCGUCCCGGCCGGGCGGGCUUCACCGCGUGGGCGCGGCAGUCGCCACUCACCGAGGUUGACGACCUUGAGCGCCGUGAAGAAGCGGUUCUGCCGGGCCAGGCGUGGGUUCUCACUAUGUUGCUUAAGCUGGUCCAGAACUCAAGCCAGUCUCUCACUUCAGCCUCUUGAGUCGUUGGGAUUACAGAAGCCACCAUGUCCAACUAGACAAGAUCUUGUUGCCCAGGCUGGUCUCAAACUCCUGCGUUCAAAUGAUACUCUCGCCUUGGCCUCCAAAAGUGUUGGGAUUGCAGACCUGAGCUACUAUGCCUGGCUGAAUUCUAUUUCUAUUGGAUUGGUUGUAAAGAAGUGCAUUGUAGCCUGCAAAGGAGCAGGGCCAGUGGGGUGGAGAGGGCAGAAGUGCUACAGAGGCCCCUGCUCUCCACUGCCCUGACUGCUACUGUGCUGGAUGCCGUGUGAACCACAGCUGCAUCUGGAGGCCUUGGGCAGCACCUAACAGGAAGCCAGAGUAGGUCCUCUGAAGGUGUUUGUUCAAUGAACUUGUCAUCCUCCUCAACUUAAAGCCUUUAGCUUUUCCAAUUUGGAGGCACAAAUAAGUGAGAACUUGGGGAUCCACUGAGGUCUGAGGCACGGUGGUACCAGAGGAGAUGAAGGGGCUUUCAGCAUGAAGCUGGUCCCCUGUCGACAGCACGCUGAUUUUCCCGUUGGGCUCUAUCAGCAUGUCCACUGUGAGACCAUGCUUGUGAAAAUACCAGGACGGUAAAUUAGUGAAUUCCAAAGUCAGGAUUUUUGUUGGAUCUGGCACAGUCACAGGAAAGUCUGAGUUUUCUCAAGGGCAUCCCUGUCUCACCGAGGGGCACCAAGGACAGACGACCAGAAGCAAAUGGCGCAGUCACCGUCAGAGGAGAGUAAAACUCAUUCUGAAACGGUUCCAAAUGCCCAUGCCUGCUCUGUGGUUUUCAGCAAAGCGGACCUUUCCAAAAGACCUCCAACAGGGACUUCCUGGAUGUGAGAACACUAACCAAUUCUCGUUCCUCUCAUCUUUUGCUUUAUUCCUUCCUUCCAUGCUGUUAUUGCGAAAAACUGGUAGUUAAAUUCAAUUGAUUCAAAAUAUUCGGGAUCCAUAUGGCCGCCAACCCUGGAGCUGAAGCGGCGAUAGCGCCUCACUGCUGUUUUCAAGCAUUUGCCUCUCCUCCAGUCCCCAGAUGGUGGGAGUAACAUUUAAACCUCCUUUUCUCUGCCUUGUACAAUAGACCUUGGCACCAUUUCAACUGUUUACUCCGGUAAUUAACAGCUCUGAUACCACAACAAUUACAACUCCUACACUCUCACCACAAUAAUGCUAUGAAUUAGUGAGAGCUAAUGGCUGGAAGGUAGAGUGUUUCCAGACUGUGGGAUCUGUGCAUUUUUAGAAUAAAAUAAAAGGUACAAACAGCACGCUUGCAGUAGACAAUGAUUACCUAGUAAUUAGUUUACACAAAGCUUCCUAUUUAAUGGCAAAACGCUGUAAUUAACGUGUGACAGAAAAUCAAAGGGUACUUUGUAAGCAUAUUAAAAAUUAACACUGCAGGCCCAUAGCUUUAUGUACUGAUUAGAAGCAUAUUAAAUCAAUAGGACACACAAACCAACAGCUUGGGUAGCUGAUUAUUAUAGGUCCUCAGAAGGGGUACCCUGGCUUUCAUUUCACUUGGGGAGGCAAUUUUCCUUCUCCUGUCAUCUUCCUCAGGCACAGAGAAACACCUCAAACUCAACCCUGGCAGCUUCAUGAAAAUAACCACUGAACUGGAAGAAAACAUUCUAAGUCAUUCUCAGAGAUGAAGACAAAUAUGUAAAUGAUUAAGACUUUCCAAUGAUUGUGGUGACGUGCUGCUACACUAAUUAGAAAAUACACCAACUGGAACCAGAAAAUAAAGCCACUGGGUUGCAAUCUUCCGGUCAGAAUAAUCUCUACUUUGUCAAGCCUCUUUAUUCAACUCAUAGAAAGUUCAAAUAAAUGGAACUGUUUUAUAUUUCUAAAUGAUAAGAAAGCAGGCUGCUAUGAAGACUUAUUCUUUCCAAGGCACUGUCUGGGUAAAGCAUAGGCUGGGAACAACUGGAUCAACCAACAUUCUGUAUCUUCAACAGCCACAACCCCAUAUAAUGAUGGCUGAUGGACAUAGACAGCAAUAUCCUGGAAGCCUACCAGAGCCUAAAGAACCUUCUGAAUCACCAAAGAAAGAUUAAGUUGUAUGUACUUGUUCAAUGUUACCUGUAUUUUGUUAUAAUACAAUUUUAUGGUAAUAAUAACAACAAUAAUAAUAGGUAGCAUUUCUUAAAGUCUUAUUAUGUGCUAAGCACACUGCUAGCCAAUUCAUAGAAUUAUCUCAUUUACUUGUCACCACUUCCCCAUGAGACAGGUACUAAUCUCUCUUUACAGAUAGAGAAAGGGAGACUUGGAGAGCUGAAGUAAUUUGCCUAUAGUUAUCCCCCAGGGAGCAUGGGAGUCUAACCUAGGUGUCCCUGGCUAUGGAACCCCAGGAAGCCAAACUACCUCUUAGUUACCCUGAAUGACUAGCCUGUUCCAACACUCAUUCUGCUUAAAAGGCAGUUUACUAUGUCAACCUGGAAUAGGAGACUAAAAAAAUUAAAACAAAAACAAAAUAUUUGGUUGCUUAUUUUUUUAAAAAACAGGGUGUUUCUGCUUUUAGAGAUAGGAGUCUUGUUCUGUCACCCAGGCUGGAGAGUGGUGGUGCAGUCAUGACUCAUUGCAGCCUCAAACUCCUGGGCUCGAGUGAUCCUCUUUCUUCAGGCUCCUAAGUAGCUGGAACUACAGGCACACACCUAAUUUUUAAAUUUUUUGUAGAGAUAGGGUCUCACUAUAUUGCCCAGGCUGGUCUUGAACUCCUGGCCUCAAGCCAACUCCCACCUCAGCCUUCCAAAGUGUUGGGAUUACAAAAUAUUACAGGAGUGAUCGACUGCACUGGGCUAAAAACAAGGGUUUUAAAUGCUUACCAUAUUUUUAAUGCUACAUCUGAUUGUGAAGGUGGGCUACUCAAAGCUUUUUGGGAAUUUACAGGCUCACUAAAAUGAUCACGAUAGUGUAUUAAAUUGAGAAAGGCAUUGAAAAUCUGUCAUUCCCAUGAACAACCAAAGGGUGAUGUCUAAAAUUCUCUCUCAUCACCCAUGCACAUAACCAGGUAUAUGAGGCAGUUGGGUUGCAAGAGCUGAAUCCUAGAAACUCCUAGGCAGGGCUCCUCCUCUCCAGCUCUGAGGUGUGUGUAUUGAUGGCCCCCUACACCUCCCAGUUUGCUGCCUUGUGGGAAAAGGAGACCAGCUCUUCUGUUAUCUAGGAAAGGGAAGAAAUUUGAGAGCAGUGGCCUCUGUGUUCCAGGAAUAUUUGCGUUUCCCACAAAUCUCUGGAAAGCAGAAAGCUUGCCACAAGGGCAGCACACGGUAUGAGUCACAAAGGCAAGGACCUGAGGGAGAACACUUCCCAGGACUUUCAAAUAAGGUCUUUCCUAAAUGUACUUGGCUCAGUGUGGCAAAAGCACUGGGCUAGCAGCAGUCAGAUGUGGGUUCAAAGCAAGGCACAAUCAUUUAUUAGCUAUAAAUUUGGGCAAGUCACUUCUUGAGAAUAAGUUUCUUCAUCUGUAAACAGAAGUAAUACCUUCCUUAUAUCUUAAAUUGGUGUGGAAGUAAAUGAGUAAAAACCUCAGGGUUUUUCUGAGUUUAAAUGAGACAAUUCAUGUAACGUGCUUAGCACAAUACCUGGUACCCAGUAGGUACUCUGCAGUAUUUAUUGAUGAUGAUGAUGAUGAUGAUGAUGAUGAUGAUGAUGACAAAGAAAUACAAGGAAAUGUCAACACCUUAACAGUGCAUUCAUAGAUCUACAAAAUGCUUAAUCUCAGUGUUCUGGCAACCACUAAAUACAUAAAGAUAAUCUAAGACAUCAAGAUUUCAACAUAUAAAAAUAAAUAUAAAAACAAGUGAACAAUAAUCAUUUAUAUGUAGUUUCAUGACUGGAAAAAAUAAUAACCUAGAUUUUUUCUUAACCUAGAAAAUCUAGAUUAAAAAAUAAAGAUCUUGCAUUUUUGAUAUAAAACACAAAUAAUAAGGACAUGAAAAAAGAAUAUCCCUUGCUAGUAAUCAAAUAAUAGCAAUGAGAAGCUGGAUUCUUAUAUCUAAAAUAAAAGUGCAAAUAGUUCAUAAUAUCCAUUGGUGGUAAGGUUGUGGUAAAACUAGUAUUCUUAUUCUCUGCCAGUUGCUUUGGAAAUUGGUACUAUCUUUUUAGGAAUAUGGCAAUAUGUAACAAAAGCCAUAAAAUAUUCUACUCCUGGGUCUUUCUCCUCGGGAAGUAACUCAACAGAAGCAAAAAGAGGUGUAUACAAAAACCAAAUAUAAAAACAAACAAAUCUUUCCUCCCUCUUUCCUCCCACUGCCAAAAAAUGAAAGCUGGGAAUAGCCUAAAUUUCCAACUUAGUUGAAUUGUUCAAUAUAUUAGAGUUCAUCAAUAUGAGAGAAUAUUAUGCAUCUAAUAAUUGUGACGACUAUGUAUAAACAUGGAAAAUAUUUAAGAUCUGAUGUUUAACUAGCAUAUACACUAUUAUUGUAGCUAUGAGAAAGAAAUACUGCAUAUUUAGAAAUUAAUAUACAAAAAUGAAAACAACUAUGUUUGGGGACAGUGAUUAUGUACUUUUAAAUUUUUUUUAAUCUUGUUAUCUUUAAACUUUUCUAAAAAUGAUGUGAUUACAAGCAAUGGCUCUUUGGGAUCACCUAAUAAAUACCUACUAAAUUCUAGACGGGACAACGAGCUCUGCCAUCCUGCAAUGGCUCCUGUGACCUAGUUCCAGGGCCAUUCUGAAUGGACAGAGGUCUUCACAAUGGAGGUGGAGAUGCAGGGAGCUCUAUGGCAUGAAAUGGUUAAUGAUUCUCUUUUGUAAUUGUGUUUUCUGUUUGCUGCCUUAGUUCUAAAAGGAGGCAAAACAACUGUGGUUUAUUCUACCUUUUCCAGGCAUAGUUCUUCUCCUACCUUUGUGAUCCCCAAAUUAAUAUCAAAUGUCUAAUUAGUUUUUUUCUCCAUUGGUGAUCCCCAAAUUAAUAUCAAAUGUCAGACAAAGUAAAUCAAAGUACAAAUAAAGGUAAAACUGCUCUUGCAAAGGGCUAAAAUAGCAAUGUUUACUAGAAGCAUUCAAGAGCCAGUUCAAUUUCCUAUUUCUCAUUAAGUGGUAAAAUAGUAAUGCCAAGACCACAUCCCAGAAUCUCCAGGGUAACAGAGGCCCAACGAAGGGCUGCAGAGAAACUUGAAAGUAAACUGGCUUAGUUCUUUACACACAGAAAUUGUUCUACAAAGAUCUCUUGCAAAGCAGUGUCACCAGUAGCAUCACUGCCACUAAGCCAAUGUCCCAGGAAUUGAGGAAAGGAAGACACCCUUAAAGAAAAAAAUGGAAAAAAGCCACAAGGACUGGUACCACAGUAAAUGUCUGCCUGGGUCUCCCUAAACUGUCUUAGGUGAGCUUACCCAGGAAUGUUUCUCCCCUACAUGUUUGCCUUCCUUUGUUUAAGCCUUUAUUCCUCCUAAAUGAAA
Molecule: long non-coding RNA, 5759 nt
Filed under: Homo sapiens (human)
Lineage: Eukaryota; Metazoa; Chordata; Mammalia; Primates; Hominidae
Description: HSALNT0381889
Source: RNAcentral